CAUCUAAGAGAUCAAAAGAAGAAGAUAAAGAUCAGCCUUCAAAGAUUCUUACGAGCUAGUACUCCCAAGGAGCCUGAUCAGUAUCCGUUCUUCGUGUGGAUGAUCUGUGGAGGCCGGAUAUCUUUGUGCAGCUGCGAGCAACCUAAAAGAACACCUAUCCACAUAAUACACUUAUGGAGAUUAGCAACCUACACUUCGAUAAAGAG
This 206-nucleotide long non-coding RNA is filed under the name Elaeis guineensis (African oil palm). RNAcentral's name for it is "long non-coding RNA (EGUI_LNC020354)". The record is from RNAcentral. Lineage: Eukaryota; Viridiplantae; Streptophyta; Magnoliopsida; Arecales; Arecaceae.